AGAAAAACAAAAAUGUCACUCAUCUAGACAUCUACUGCCAUCAUUGCUGCUGCGUUUGCGCGUUUGCUGCGUUAUCGAGGAAUCGAGUUACUUAUUUGGAUUUCGAUUAAUCUGGAGAAAUAAAUCACAUAUUCCCGUUAUGGACUGAAACUGUACAGUGCAUGAUGUUAUAAAGCAAGCAUGGUAUAUGCAUAUAUGCUACGUGAAAACCCGAGCAAAAUUGUCUACCUCGAUAACAUUAUAUUGCUGGAUGUUCCUUUUAGUCACACCUUCCGCUGCCAAAAUGUGUCUUUUUAGCCCAACAGUUGUGGAAUCAUGUACAAUACAGGUUCAUUCAUGCUGUGAAUUAUAAAUGCUUCUGUAUCAUGCGUAUUUGGUUGUACCUCCUACAUCAAAUGGAGGCUGUUUGGGAGUCAUGAUAGUUCUUCACUGCUGACCUGAACAAACACCUAUCAAAAGUUCAUUCAUGCCUGUUAAUGAUUGAUGCUUCUGUACCAGGCAUAUUUUGGUGUUUUGGCAGAAAUUUAUCAACGUCAAAGUCAAGAAAUUGGACAGUGUCGAGUCUGAGACCAAUUUGAAAAUACUGGGCAGCAAAUUUGACACUGGAUCUCAGCUGUGCCCACUCUGAGCAGUUCAACUGCAGACCUCCAGUUGUUGCUACCUUUAAAACGGUUAUGUACAUUUUCGAACCGUUUGACAUGUCUCGACUUAACUACAUGCAGCUAGCGUUAUUUUUGCAGCCCACGGGAUAGGUUGCCAUUACGUUGACGACUGGAGCGUCUUUCCAGGUCCUGUUUGCGACCUUUCGGUUUUGUUUAUUGUCAAUGUGAAUGGUCGUUUGAAGAUUUGCCAGGUUCCAGAGAUCUGCUAAAAGAGGGCUACCGUCUUUCUUUCGGUUUCAUCGGUUUCUUUUCAUCAAUCCAAUGAACAACACUGAAAUUCAGACUUCAAUGAAGAAUCUUGGCAGCAAUUCAGUCUAAACUGUGACAAAACCCAUCCCCGGCAACGUCAACCUGCAGAAGGAAGAGGCCA
This 1032-nucleotide long non-coding RNA is filed under the name Daphnia pulex (common water flea). RNAcentral describes it as "uncharacterized LOC124197556, transcript variant X3". The record is from RNAcentral. Lineage: Eukaryota; Metazoa; Arthropoda; Branchiopoda; Diplostraca; Daphniidae.